This 492-nucleotide ribosomal RNA is filed under the name uncultured bacterium. RNAcentral describes it as "partial 16S ribosomal RNA". It matches the Rfam family "Bacterial small subunit ribosomal RNA", at positions 29 to 507 of the family's 1533-position model. The record is from RNAcentral.
AGUGAACGCUGGCGGUAGGCCUAAUACAUGCAAGUCGAACGGAAGCACAGUAAGAGCUCGCUCUUACGGGUGGCGAGUGGCGGACGGGUGAGGAAUACAUCGGCAUCUACUUUUUCGUGGGGGAUAACGGAGGACAACUUCUGCUACUACCGCAUACGACCUACGGGUGAAUUCAGGGGAUCUUCACGCCUUGCGCGAUUGUUUUAGACGGUGUCGGAUUAGCUAGUUGGCAGGGUAAGGGCACACCAAGGCAACGAUCCGUAGCUGGUCUGAGAGGAUGAUCAGCCACACUGGAACUGAGACACGGUCCAGACUCCUACGGGAGGCAGCAGUAGGGAAUAUUGGGCAAUGGGCGAAAGCCUGAUCCAGCCAUACCGCGUGAGUGAUGAAGGCCUUCGGGUUGUAAAGCCCUUUUAUUGGGAAAGAAAAGCAGCAUAUUAAUACCCCGCUAUUCUGACGGUACCCAAAGAGUAAGCACCGGCUAACUUCGUG